Long non-coding RNA from Oreochromis aureus, 773 nucleotides. Lineage: Eukaryota; Metazoa; Chordata; Actinopteri; Cichliformes; Cichlidae. The record is from Ensembl.
UAACGUAGUUCUAUUAAUCUGCGCUCGUUUACUCUUGAACCGGAUGUAAGUCCCAAAAAACUGAAUUUUGGAACUGAAACUGAAUGCGGCUAUCAUUUUCUGGAGUUGGACCUGUGCACCACUUCCAAGCGAAUAUAAAGGACGGGGAAGACGGCCUUCGCUUCUAGUAUUUGCAUAAUUAUUCACCUCUCGUGUGUGGAAGGAAGUCUGUGGAGUGCUCAGUCUUUUAUCCCCAGUUUCAUCCCUAGACUAAUGGAAAAACUGAGCAUCCUAACCACCUGCACUGAGGCCACUCUUUGCUGUGUUGCAUCAUCCAAGCAGUCAACAUGGAGAUCUCACCUGCCCUGGGUUGAAUAUACACACAACCACAUGACAUCAUCUACAACUCUGCUGUCCCUGUUUGCAUCCCCAGUCUGCUACCAACCUCUACUUUCUCCAGAUGCUCUUUGUUUCCUCUGUACAGGAUACUUUACACCAUCAUUUCCAUGUCCCCCAGCUGAAGCAUCAAAUGGCGUGAGAGAUGCUUGGUGGACUGUGAAGGGUAUGGCCUGGUUGCUCCAACCUGGACAAACAUUACAACUUUGUAUAAUCUGAAGACUCCAUACAUUUUGAUGUCAUUACUUCAGCUUCAUUUCUGAGAAAUCUGGUGUUGUCUGAUGAUCAAAACUAAAACCCUUGAAACUGGUCUUGUGCAUAAACAGCUGCAGAAAUAAAAAAAAAAAACACGGAUUAUGAUUGUGUUUUAAGAUAUAACAAUAAAGCUUAGCUUCCAC